This 98-nucleotide non-coding RNA is filed under the name Mycobacterium sp. RNAcentral's name for it is "Glycine sequence". It matches the Rfam family "Glycine riboswitch aptamer". From Rfam's summary of the family: This family represents the bacterial glycine riboswitch. The record is from RNAcentral. Lineage: Bacteria; Bacillati; Actinomycetota; Actinomycetes; Mycobacteriales; Mycobacteriaceae.
CGCUUUCGAGCGGGAGAGUUUCGUGGCCACCAGUCACGGACGCCGAAGGAGCAACACCUCUCCGUCAACCUCUCAGGCACCCGGACCGCGCGAAUAAC